Molecule: long non-coding RNA, 578 nt
Organism: Cyprinus carpio carpio
Lineage: Eukaryota; Metazoa; Chordata; Actinopteri; Cypriniformes; Cyprinidae
Source: Ensembl
GGAAGGGUCGACUGCUCCUUCUCCUUCUCCUGCUAAGCCUUAGAUCUGUCAGAAUCCACACUUCAUAGUGGUAUGGGAAUAGCUCCAGUCAUGACUGCAAAGCCCUGCAGAGAGUUGUGCACUUAGCUGAGCGCGUCUCAGGGUCUGCUCUCCCCGCUCUGCAGGACAUCUACCUCAAACGCUGCAAAAGCAGAGCUGUUAAAAUCAUCAAGGACUCCAUCCACCCCAGUAACCAUCUUUUCACUUUGCUGCCAUCUGAUGUGAAGGGAAAAGCAGCUGCUCCAUAUUAGCCUCCAACAGUGUCUUCUCAGAUCCAUGUGUCGGCACAUUCAAGUACCUGUACAUCUCAUACUCCUGCGUGUCUUAAGUAGAACGACAGCUGAUCUUGUGGAUUUGGCCUCAGAAUCUCCUCCACUUUAAAUGUGCUGCAACUAAAUCUAUUUCUCAAUUGUUAAUGCAUCUAAUAUUAUAUUGUAUUUGCCGGCUUUCCUCCUGUAAAGAUAUGGUAAAAAGGGUUAUGGCAGAAUACUAGUAUGCUAAUCUGAAUUAGCAGUCUUUGUGUGCAGAUAAAAUCAGUG